RNAcentral lists this ribosomal RNA (398 nucleotides) under Cryomonadida sp. Its description in RNAcentral is "partial small subunit ribosomal RNA". It matches the Rfam family "Eukaryotic small subunit ribosomal RNA", at positions 582 to 975 of the family's 1831-position model. The record is from RNAcentral. Lineage: Eukaryota; Cercozoa; Thecofilosea; Cryomonadida.
AUUCCAGCUCCAAGAGCGUAUAUUAAAGUUGUUGCAGUUAAAAAGCUCGUAGUUGGAUUUCUGGUCUAAUGCGCCUGGCCCGCUGCCGUUAGGUAUGUGAGUGCCGGUGCGCGUUUACCAUCCUUCCAGAGAACACUUCUACCAUUUAUUUGGACGGAUGUUGUCUUCUGGAUCUUUUACUUUGAAAAAAUUAGAGUGUUUAAAGCAGGCCUUUGCUGUGAAUACAUUAGCAUGGAAUAAUAAUCUAGGACUUCGGUUCUAUUUUGUUGGUUUCUAGUACUGAAGUAAUGAUUGAUAGGGAUAGUUGGGGGUGCUAGUAUUGGCCGGCCAGAGGUGAAAUUCUUGGAUUCGGUCAAGACUAACUUAUGCGAAAGCAUUCACCAAGGAUGUCUUCAUUG